GCCUUUCCUGAAUGAUGGCAUAUUUUUUCUUGUAGAUUAAGGACAAAUUAUUGUUUCUGAAUUAUACCUGGUUCUCUUCCAGGAAAAAGCA
This is a non-coding RNA of Turdus rufiventris (rufous-bellied thrush), 91 nucleotides long. The record is from the annotation of a GenBank genome assembly. Lineage: Eukaryota; Metazoa; Chordata; Aves; Passeriformes; Turdidae.